RNAcentral lists this ribosomal RNA (253 nucleotides) under uncultured bacterium. Its description in RNAcentral is "partial 16S ribosomal RNA". It matches the Rfam family "Bacterial small subunit ribosomal RNA", at positions 524 to 776 of the family's 1533-position model. The record is from RNAcentral.
UACAGAGGUGGCAAGCGUUGUUCGGAAUUACUGGGCGUAAAGGGCGCGUAGGCGGCCAUCUAAGUCAGACGUGAAAUCCCCCGGCUUAACCUGGGAACUGCGUCUGAUACUGGACGGCUUGAGUAUGGGAGAGGGAUGUAGAAUUCCAGGUGUAGCGGUGAAAUGCGUAGAUAUCGGGAGGAACACCAGUGGCGAAGGCGGUUGCCUGGAGCUUUGCUGACGCUGAGGCGCGAAAGCGUGGGGAGCGAGCCGG